Molecule: ribosomal RNA, 465 nt
Filed under: uncultured bacterium
Lineage: Bacteria
Description: partial 16S ribosomal RNA
Rfam family: Bacterial small subunit ribosomal RNA
Source: RNAcentral
GACGAACGCUGGCGGCGUGCUUAACACAUGCAAGUCGAACGGAAAGGCCCCUUUGGGGGUACUCGAGUGGCGAACGGGUGAGUAACACGCGAGUAACCUGCCCUUGACUUCGGGAUAACUUCAGGAAACAGGGGCUAAUACCGGAUAGGAAUCCUUGCUGCAUGGGGGGGGUUGGAAAGCUUCGGCGGGGUUGGGUGGACGCGCGGCUUAUCAGCUUGUUUGUGGGGUAGUGGCUUACCAAGGAUUUGACGGGGAGCCGGCCCGGGAGGGCGGCCGGCCAACAUUGGACUGGGGUACGGCCCAGACUCCUACGGGGGGCCAGAGGUGGGAAUAAUUCCCAAUGGGCCGGAGCCUGAUGCAACAACGCCGCGGGCGGGAUUACGGGCUUCGGGUUGGAAACCGCUUUCAGCAGGGGCGGAACUUGUGGUGACGGUACCUGCAGAAGAAGCACCGGCUAACUACGUG